RNAcentral lists this transfer RNA (69 nucleotides) under Bos taurus (domestic cattle). It matches the Rfam family "tRNA". From Rfam's summary of the family: Transfer RNA (tRNA) molecules are approximately 80 nucleotides in length. Their secondary structure includes four short double-helical elements and three loops (D, anti-codon, and T loops). Further hydrogen bonds mediate the characteristic L-shaped molecular structure. tRNAs have two regions of fundamental functional importance: the anti-codon, which is responsible for specific mRNA codon recognition, and the 3' end, to which the tRNAs corresponding amino acid is attached (by aminoacyl-tRNA synthetases). tRNAs cope with the degeneracy of the genetic code in two manners: having more than one tRNA (with a specific anti-codon) for a particular amino acid; and 'wobble' base-pairing, i.e. permitting non-standard base-pairing at the 3rd anti-codon position. Lineage: Eukaryota; Metazoa; Chordata; Mammalia; Artiodactyla; Bovidae. The record is from Rfam by way of RNAcentral. RNAcentral also lists the same sequence under 1 other name.
CCUGAUGGUUCAGACAGUAAAGAAUCUGCCUGUAAUGCAGAAGACUUGGGUUUGAUCCUUACGUCAGGA